This 346-nucleotide ribosomal RNA is filed under the name uncultured bacterium. RNAcentral's name for it is "partial 16S ribosomal RNA". It matches the Rfam family "Bacterial small subunit ribosomal RNA", at positions 338 to 681 of the family's 1533-position model. The record is from RNAcentral.
CCUACGGGAGGCAGCAGUGAGGAAUAUUGGUCAAUGGACGCAAGUCUGAACCAGCCAUGCCGCGUGCAGGAAGACGGCUCUAUGAGUUGUAAACUGCUUUUGUACGAGGGUAAACGCAGAUACGUGUAACGGUCUGAAAGUAUCGUACGAAUAAGGAUCGGCUAACUCCGUGCCAGCAGCCGCGGUAAUACGGAGGAUCCCAGCGUUAUCCGGAUUGAUUGGGUUUAAAGGGUGCGUAGGCGGUCGGAUAAGUUAGAGGUGAAAUCCCGUGGCUCAACUGCGGAAUUGCCUCUGAUACUGUUCGUCUCGUGCGUAGUUGCGGUAGGCGGCAUGUCUGGUGUAGCGG